GACGAACGCUGGCGGCGUGCCUAAUACAUGCAAGUUGAGCGCUGCAGGCUGGUAUUUGUGCCCACUGGAUGAGCAGCGAACGGGUGCGUCACGCGUGUGGAAUAUGCCUUUCAGCGGGGGACACUAAUUGGAAACGAAUGCUAAUACCGAAUAAAAACUUUCAACACAAGUGUUAAGCUUGAAAGAUGCAAUUGCAUAAUUCAAAGAUGAACCCGCGUUGUAUUAGCUAGUUGGUGAGGUAAAGGGUCACCAAGGCGUUGAUACAUAGCCGACCUGAGAGGGUGAUCGGCAACAUUGGGAUGGAGACACGGCCCAAACUCCUGCGGCAGGCAGCAGUACGGGAUCUUCAGGGAUGGACGAAGGGGUGACCAAGCAACGCCGCGUGAGUGAAUAAGGUUUUCGGGUCGUAAAACUCUGUUAGUAGAGAGGAUCGUUGGUGUGAGUGGAAAGCGCAGCAAGUGACGGUAACGGCCCAAUAAGCGACGGCUAACUACGUG
Molecule: ribosomal RNA, 497 nt
Filed under: uncultured bacterium
Lineage: Bacteria
Description: partial 16S ribosomal RNA
Rfam family: Bacterial small subunit ribosomal RNA
Source: RNAcentral